AGCUCCAAUAGCGUAUAUUAAAGUUGUUGCGGUUAAAAAGCUCGUAGUUGGAUUUCUGUCGAAGUCGGCCGGUCUCUACUUCGUAGAUGUAUCUGGUUCGGUUUUGGCAUCCUCCUGGGGAGCCGCUCUGUGCUUGAUUGCACGGUCGGAUAUUCAGGACUUUUACUUGAGGAAAUUAGAGUGUUCACAGCAAGCUUUCGCUUUGAAUACAUUAGCAUGGAAUAAUAAUAUAGGGCGUGAGUCUUAUUUUGUUGGUUUCUAGGACACACGCAAUGAUUAAUAGGGACAAUUGGGGGCAUUCGUAUUAACGCGUCAGAGGUGGAAUUCUUAGAUUGCGUUACGACGAACUACUGCGAAAGCAUUUGCCAAGGAUGUUUUCA
RNAcentral lists this ribosomal RNA (380 nucleotides) under uncultured eukaryote. RNAcentral's name for it is "SSU rRNA". It matches the Rfam family "Eukaryotic small subunit ribosomal RNA", at positions 587 to 972 of the family's 1831-position model. The record is from RNAcentral.